Molecule: small RNA, 502 nt
Filed under: uncultured Glomus
Lineage: Eukaryota; Fungi; Glomeromycota; Glomeromycetes; Glomerales; Glomeraceae
Description: SSU rRNA
Rfam family: Eukaryotic small subunit ribosomal RNA
Source: RNAcentral
AGCAGCCGCGGUAAUUCCAGCUCCAAUAGCGUAUAUUAAAGUUGUUGCAGUUAAAAAGCUCGUAGUUGAAUUUCGGGGUCAGUAGGUCGGUCGUGCCACAGGUAUGCACUGGUCUCACUGAUUCCUCCUUCCUGAUGAACCGUAAUGCCAUUAAUUUGGUGUUGCGGGGAGACUGGACUGUUACUUUGAAAAAUUAGAGUGUUUAAAGCAGGCUAACGCUUGAAUACAUUAGCAUGGAAUAAUGAAAUAGGACGUUCGAUCCUAUUUUGUUGGUUUCUAGGAUUGACGUAAUGAUUAAUAGGGAUAGUUGGGGGCAUUAGUAUUCAAUUGUCAGAGGUGAAAUUCUUGGAUUUAUUGAAGACUAACUACUGCGAAAGCAUUUGCCAAGGAUGUUUUCAUUAAUCAAGAACGAAAGUUAGGGGAUCGAAGACGAUCAGAUACCGUCGUAGUCUUAACCAUAAACUAUGCCGACUAGGGAUCGGAUGAUGUUAAUUUUUAAUGA